This 24-nucleotide ribosomal RNA is filed under the name Ourisia macrophylla var. macrophylla. RNAcentral's name for it is "partial 26S ribosomal RNA". Lineage: Eukaryota; Viridiplantae; Streptophyta; Magnoliopsida; Lamiales; Plantaginaceae. The record is from RNAcentral.
CGACCGAGACCCCAUGUCAGGUCG